RNAcentral lists this ribosomal RNA (1116 nucleotides) under uncultured organism. Its description in RNAcentral is "bacterial SSU rRNA". It matches the Rfam family "Bacterial small subunit ribosomal RNA", at positions 340 to 1453 of the family's 1533-position model. The record is from RNAcentral.
UAUGGGAGGCGCAGGCGGGAAUAGUUCACAAUGGGCGAAAGCCUGAAUGACGCGACGCCGCGUGAGCGAAGAAGACUCGGGUGUAAGCUCUGUCAGAGGGAAGAAGGCUCUACGGGUCAAUAGCCCGUGGGAUUGAGGUACCUCCAGAGGAAAAGCCCCGGCUAAAUACGUGCCAGCAGCCGCGGUAAUACGUAUGGGGCAAGCGUUGCCGGAUUACUGGGCGUAAAGGGCGCGUAGCCGGUUUGUUAAGUCGAAGGUGAAAUCCUCGGGCUCAACUCGAGAAUUGCCUUCGAUACUGGAAACUAGAGUGGCGGAGAGGAAAGCGGAACUCUUGGUGUAACGGUGGAAUGUGUAGAUAUCAAGAGGAACACCGGUGGCGAAGGCGGCUUUCUGGACGCACACUGACGCUCAGGCGCGAAAGCGUGGGUAGCAAACAGGAUUAGAUACCCUGGUAGUCCACGCCAUAAACGAUGGGUACUAGGUGUCGGGGGUAUCGACCCCUCCGGUGCCGCAGUUAACGCACUAAGUACCCCGCCUGGGGAUUAUGGUCGCAAGGCUGAAACUCAAAGGAAUUGACGGGGCCCCGCACAAGCGGUGGAGCAUGUGGUUUAAUUCGACGCAACGCGAAGAACCUUACCUGGGCUUGACAUGCUUGGGACAGCGCUGGAAACAGCGUCUCUCCUUCGGGAGCCCUUGCACAGGUGCUGCAUGGCUGUCGUCAGCUCGUGUCGUGAGAUGUUGGGUUAAGUCCCGCAACGAGCGCAACCCUCGUUACUAGUUGCCAUCAGUUCGGCUGGGCACUCUAGUGAGACUGCCGGUGAUAAACCGGAGGAAGGUGAGGAUGAUGUCAAGUCAUCAUGGCCCUUGCGCCCAGGGCUACACACGUGCUACAAUGGUCGGCACAAAGGGUCGCUAAGCCGCGAGGUGGAGCUAAUCCCAAAAAGCCGGCCUCAGUUCGGAUUGGAGUCUGCAACCCGACUCCAUGAAGGCGGAAUCGCUAGUAAUCGCGGAUCAGCAUGCCGCGGUGAAUAUGUUCCCNGGGGCUUGUACACACCGCCCGUCAUAUCACCCGAGUCGGGAUACCCGAAGUCCGUGACCCAACCAUUUGGAGGGAGC